This 491-nucleotide ribosomal RNA is filed under the name uncultured bacterium. RNAcentral's name for it is "partial 16S ribosomal RNA". It matches the Rfam family "Bacterial small subunit ribosomal RNA", at positions 28 to 507 of the family's 1533-position model. The record is from RNAcentral.
GAUGAACGCUGGCUACAGGCUUAACACAUGCAAGUCGAGGGGAAACGACGGGGAAGCUUGCUUCCCCGGGCGUCGACCGACGCACGGGUGAGUAACGCGUAUCCAACCUGCCUCUGACUGAGGGAUAACCCGUCGAAAGUCGGCCUAAUACCUCAUGGCAUCGUCUGCGGGCAUCCAACGACGAUUAAAGAUUUCAUCGGUCAGAGAUGGGGAUGCGUCUGAUUAGCUUGUUGGCGGGGUAACGGCCCACCAAGGCGACGAUCAGUAGGGGUUCUGAGAGGAAGGUCCCCCACAUUGGAACUGAGACACGGUCCAAACUCCUACGGGAGGCAGCAGUGAGGAAUAUUGGUCAAUGGGCGAGAGCCUGAACCAGCCAAGUAGCGUGCAGGAGGACGGCCCUAUGGGUUGUAAACUGCUUUUAGGCGGGGAUAAAGUGAGGGACGUGUCCUUCAUUGCAGGUACCGCAUGAAUAAGGACCGGCUAAUUCCGUG